This 497-nucleotide ribosomal RNA is filed under the name uncultured bacterium. Its description in RNAcentral is "partial 16S ribosomal RNA". It matches the Rfam family "Bacterial small subunit ribosomal RNA", at positions 28 to 507 of the family's 1533-position model. The record is from RNAcentral.
GAUGAACGCUGGCGGCGUGCCUAAUACAUGCAAGUCGAGCGAACGGACGAGAAGCUUGCUUCUCUGAUGUUAGCGGCAGACGGGUGAGUAACACGUGGAUAACCUACCUAUAAGACUGGGAUAACUUCGGGAAACCGGAGCUAAUACCGGAUGAUAUUUUGAACCGCAUGGUUCAAAAGUGAAAGACGGUCUUGCUGUCACUUAUAGAUGGAUCCGCGCUGCAUUAGCUAGUUGGUAAGGUAACGGCUUACCAAGGCAACGAUGCAUAGCCGACCUGAGAGGGUGAUCGGCCACACUGGAACUGAGACACGGUCCAGACUCCUACGGGAGGCAGCAGUAGGGAAUCUUCCGCAAUGGGCGAAAGCCUGACGGAGCAACGCCGCGUGAGUGAUGAAGGUCUUCGGAUCGUAAAACUCUGUUAUUAGGGAAGAACAUAUGUGUAAGUAACUUUGCACAUCUUGACGGUACCUAAUCAGAAAGCCACGGCUAACUACGUG